This 484-nucleotide ribosomal RNA is filed under the name uncultured bacterium. RNAcentral describes it as "partial 16S ribosomal RNA". It matches the Rfam family "Bacterial small subunit ribosomal RNA", at positions 30 to 507 of the family's 1533-position model. The record is from RNAcentral.
AUUGAACGCUGGCGGCAGGCCUAACACAUGCCAGUCGAGCGGAUGAAGGGAGCUUGCUCCUGGAUUCAGCGGCGGACGGGUGAGUAAUGCCUAGGAAUCUGCCUGGUAGUGGGGGAUAACGUCCGGAAACGGGCGCUAAUACCGCAUACGUCCUGAGGGAGAAAGUGGGGGAUCUUCGGACCUCACGCUAUCAGAUGAGCCUAGGUCGGAUUAGCUAGUUGGUGGGGUAAAGGCCUACCAAGGCGACGAUCCGUAACUGGUCUGAGAGGAUGAUCAGUCACACUGGAACUGAGACACGGUCCAGACUCUUACGGGAGGCAGCAGUGGGGAAUAUUGGACAAUGGGCGAAAGCCUGAUCCAGCCAUGCCGCGUGUGUGAAGAAGGUCUUCGGAUUGUAAAGCACUUUAAGUUGGGAGGAAGGGCAGUAAGUUAAUACCUUGCUGUUUUGACGUUACCAACAGAAUAAGCACCGGCUAACUUCGUG